UACGAGAGGCCCAAACGUUAUUCGGAAUUACUGGGCUUAAAGAGUUCGUAGGCGGCAUUACAAGUAGGGUGUGAAAGCCCUCGGCUCAACCGAGGAAUUGCGCUCUAAACUGUCGUGCUCGAGGAACCUAGAGGUGAGCAGAACAGAUGGUGGAGCGGUGAAAUGCGUUGAUAUCAUCUGGAAUACCGGAGGCGAAGGCGGCUCACUGGGGGUUUUCUGACGCUGAGGAACGAAAGCCAGGGUAGCGAACGGG
Molecule: ribosomal RNA, 253 nt
Filed under: uncultured bacterium
Lineage: Bacteria
Description: partial 16S ribosomal RNA
Rfam family: Bacterial small subunit ribosomal RNA
Source: RNAcentral